RNAcentral lists this unclassified non-coding RNA (347 nucleotides) under soil metagenome. Its description in RNAcentral is "partial contains 5.8S ribosomal RNA, internal transcribed spacer 2, and large subunit ribosomal RNA". The stretch from base 1 to 120 matches the Rfam family "5.8S ribosomal RNA", at positions 35 to 154 of the family's 154-position model. The record is from RNAcentral.
GAUGAAGAACGUAGCGAAAUGCGAUAAGUAAUGUGAAUUGCAGAAUUCAGUGAAUCAUCGAAUCUUUGAACGCACAUUGCGCCCGCCAGUAUUCUGGCGGGCAUGCCUGUCUGAGCGUCAUUUCAACCCUCAUGCCCCUAGGGCGUGGUGUUGGGGAUCGGCCAAAGCCCGCGAGGGACGGCCGGCCCCUAAAUCUAGUGGCGGACCCGUCGUGGCCUCCUCUGCGAAGUAGUGAUAUUCCGCAUCGGAGAGCGAUGAGCCCCUGCCGUUAAACCCCCAACUUUCCAAGGUUGACCUCAGAUCAGGUAGGAAUACCCGCUGAACUUAAGCAUAUCAAUAAGCGGAGA